AAUCAGCCCUAGCAGGUUCACCAUGUUCUCUGUGCAGUUUGAGACAAACUCACUAAACGUCCUGUUCUCUGAAAAAUGAUCCAUCCAAGAGGGCACAGGCCAAGAGUGUUUCUCCUUUUGGUAUCAGGGACAGGUUGUAAUGCUGCCGUGAUCAAAGGCAUGAGUUCCUCAGGUGAGGGGGCAGCCCGGCUACAGCCCUGGUGGGGAGGGCUGCACUUAGCGUAGGAGCUGGCUAUUUCACUGCCCCCACCCCAUCUUCAUUGCUUCUAGGCAUCCAGAGCUCUAUGGUGUAACGUAUAUCCUGGAAUAGUUCCAACAUCUCUGUUCCAGGACUUGCUGGACACAGAACCACUUGUGAUACGGUUAGAAAAGUCACUUUUCAUCUCCUGUCCUAAGCUGCUAAGAAAAACGAAUCAUGUAGCCUAGAUUUACAUGUUUGCCUUUUUCUGGUGAUCAUGAGUGACUGAUCUGAGCAAUAAGUAUAUGACUGAGAGGCCCUCGCCAGGCAUUUGUGGAGCGGAUUGCCGAAGCUUGGUUAGUUAAGCAAUAUGCCAGAAAUUUGGAGAUCAUGAACUCUGACUUUUGCCACCUUGCCACAUGCUCUUCAGCCAGUUAUUUCUCCUAUGUUCUGCCUUUAUAAAAUGGGGAUAAGCUAUCUCUGAGGUUGUUUUAAGAAGAGACACUAAUGAAAAUGAUUGUCAAGUGCCUCUCUAAAGAGAAAGUACAGUAGGCAUAAGUGCUUUAUGUGAUGAAAUUCCAUCUUUCUUCCUCCCUUUGCAACCUGAACCAUGGAAUCAAUAAUGUUUUUCCAAGUGCAGUGUCCCCAGGACAAAAUAUGAAUCAGUUUCCUGAGCUCGGCAGCCCUCGGAUGGGGAGUAGCCCCUGCCCUCUGGGGCCUGGUGUCCAGGGUGUGGCUGGCUUUACUGCUGUAAGUGCCCAUCUUAUCCUGGGAUUCCAGCCAAGAUGCCAGUGUUGCAAAUUUCUCUGAUUUCAGAGGAAGAUUUGUUUAGGGGUUGAGUCUUCACAGUGGCUUUUGCCAUCUAUCUCCAUUUUAUUUUCUCUUUUAUCGAGUACCUAUUGUACCCCAGGCACUGUGCUAAAUGCAUUCACCUACAUUAUCUUGUUUAAUCCUCUGAGCAGCUCGGCGAGGGGGGUGUCAUUACCAUUCUUAUUUUACCUCACGAAAUAGGCACUUGGAGGGAGUGAAACGAGUUAGCAAGGUAACACAGAAAACAACGGGCAAGGCCAGGAUUCCAACCCAAGCUCAUCAUUACUCUCCCAUGCUUCCUUUCCCACAGUUGCCCUACAUUCAGACACUUCCCAUUUAAGAGAAAAUCAAACUGCAGUUUGAGAAAGCACUAACUAGAGAGUUCAAGGGAGUGGGGUCUUCUGCCCACACCUAUGGGGAAUAUGCUGUAGGCAUGGCUAUUGGGUACUACCUGCCUUGGAGGAUGAGGGUGAAGGGAAUGGGGUCCUUCCUCCUUCACCUGGUCCUGUAGACCAGUGCCCAGGCCUGUGUGUUCUCAGAGCAUUUCCUGCCCAUCUGAAAUGCAGAGCAUCCAGGCUGUCACUGCUACAGCAGGGCCCCUAAUGCACUGCCUUACAUCAACAUGAUUGUCAACUCAUUUCAGCUCAAUCAUCCGGCCUUGUGAGAGACGCCCACAUGCUGAAGAGCCUUUCUGCAGUUCUGCAUUGAACUCUUCAUGUGGCCCCAUCUAGUAAUGAGUGCGAGUGGUCAUGUGGCAAAGACACUUUGAGGAGCCCAUCCUGGGAUGAAAACCAUGGCCAGGGAAGAGGCCACAGCAGAGAGGCAGAGGUGCUGAAACCACUUCUGCAACCACAAGGACGAAAGUGCACCUCAUUGGUGAGGGAGCGCUGGUGCCUGCCCCCAUGUGCACACAGCAGCCCAUAGCUAAGGAGUCACAGAGCUCUUACCUCAAUCCUACCUGAUCAGUUCAGCCAGAACUGAUCUCUCAGCCAAGUCUGUACCCUGGCUAGAAUGUGAUCUUCAAAAUGUGAUCCUAACCUGUUUUGUUCACUCCUAUGACCCCAGCAUCCAGAACAAUGCUUGGCACCAUUGGUAGGCACUCAAAUACUAUACUUGGUACAUCAAAUAACAAAUUAACUCCUCCAUUCUAUGCCUUCUUGGAAGGGAUACAGGAUGGCAGCUGGGGAGAGGAGAGCACAGAAGAAAGAUGAGAACAGGAUCUUAGAAAACUUCCCUGGGGCAUAUUUGUAGGCCCUGACUUACCCAGAUCCUUGGAACAGGAAUUAUGGCUUAGGGAGCAGUAGGCAAGCCCUGAUCAUGGAGCCUGGCAGACCCAUUUAUUCCUUCAACAAGGAUUUAUGGAACACUUACCAGAUGCCAAGUCCUGCUGUAUUCUCAGCCUUGCCAGGCCUAGCUUUCAUACCCUUCUGGCCCUGUGAUUUCUGGCUAGCUGUUAGCCUCUCUCUCUGUUCAUUCAUUGGUAAAUACAUCACAGGGUUCUUGAGAAGAUUAAAUGACAUAAUAUAUAAAAUA
Molecule: long non-coding RNA, 2521 nt
Filed under: Homo sapiens (human)
Lineage: Eukaryota; Metazoa; Chordata; Mammalia; Primates; Hominidae
Description: HSALNT0298678
Source: RNAcentral